This is a long non-coding RNA of Prosopis cineraria, 2107 nucleotides long. RefSeq lists it as uncharacterized. NCBI's taxonomy places the organism in Eukaryota, Viridiplantae, Streptophyta, Magnoliopsida, Fabales, Fabaceae. The transcript is spliced from 3 exons. The record is from RefSeq and is a predicted model, not a curated record.
UUCUCCUUCAGUGUUUUCGAAAACUCCAGAACCACCGAGAGUCAUUUUGUUCAUUCUCUACUCAUCUCCUCCUCACCGUUGUCCUUUAAUUCUUCCCUCACCGUUGCUGAGCUUGCUUGUUUCUUCUCCGUUGAGGAUCUGCCAUGAAACGGCACUGCUUCUGGUUUCCCCUGUCUCUGGUUGCUGCCGAUUUUUGAUCACUGUUGAUGAAGUGUGCUUAGUCUUUGCAUCUUAUUCCUCCUUAGCUGCUGCUGUGUUCAGAUCACCGUGAAUCUGCCACUGUCGAGGCCGAACUCAUAAAUUUGUCUGCUCCUCUGUUCAUCUACUGGUCUUCUCUUCAUGCGACGGUGAUGCCUGAAUCUUUCUUCUCCUCUAUUAAUGUGCUGCCAUGGGAUCGCCUCCCAUCUGUGCUUUGUGUGGAUGUUCCAAGAUCUUCUUCUCCCUCCUUCGCUCUGCGUCCUACUUUCUCCAUUUUUGCUUGACUAGAACCUUUUCUUGUUCUGCUCUGUCGUGAUCACACGUGAGUUAGGGAGGUUCAACUUCUUCUCUUCAUUUCUUUACUGCCUUGGUGAUGGUAUAGUUGAAUUCGUGACUCGAGAUAUCCACUGAGGAGUGUUAUUGCUGAAUUGAAGCUGAAGAAUUAUUUUUGUCAAAUCCUAAAUUGAUGAAAAAUUUGAACUUCAUACCUACGUUGGUGUCUGGCCUUAGAUGCUCCACGUAGACUACAGGAGAAAGCAGCAUGGAACACAUCAAUGCUUGGGGCCAUAAGAGGUUUCAUAUAAAAAAGAACACGACAGACUUCAUUGAAUAUAAUGCAAGUCCCCAGACUACUCAUAGAAUUAUUGGGCAUAGUCAGGAAGGCUCACCUCCCAACAUACGGAGGAACAAUAUCAGUUUCCCGUGAAUAAAGAUUCUUAAAAAAAAUCCAAUGCCCAAGUACUCAAACUCUUCACUAAAACACCAUUAUUCACUAUCCUCACCUUUAAGCGUCAGCACCCUUUUCCUUCUAGAUUUCCUCAUAACCUUUCACUGAUAAUAGGCUGCAUUGUGAUCCCCAAAGUUUAACGUAUCGCAUCUCGCUUGCUGUGCCCAUAAACUAUUCUUCUGUUCCUAAAUCAUUUCAAACUCCUUUAAUUAGUACUACCUCAAGUCUCGGAAGGUAAUUAGAAUGUAAUAUUCAUAAUUCAUUAUGUAAUUAUAACCUUAUAUAAGUAGGCAUAAUUAAUUUCAUGGAGGCUUGAUAUAUCAAAUGUUAAACAAGAAAUUUGACUUAUAAAUUAUGAAUUUUUACUUGUACAUUAUCAAGUUGCAUUUGUAAAUAAAAACCAAAUUAAGAGGGAUAGCAUUGUCUUUAAAUUAUAUUUAGGUUUCAAGGAACUUUGCUGAAGCUUCUAAAUUUCGUGGAACAUAUUUUAUUAUUUGUAAAUACGUAUGUUAUACAACAUCAAGGAACUUUGCUGUAAUUUCUGAAUAAAUUUGCUCACUGGCUGAAAAAAAAAAUCUUGUGCCAAAAAAAUAUUAACCAAAUUUUUGAAAAUUUGAGAGAGUGGGUGAUUUACAUUGAUACAUAAUAAGUUUAUUAUUGACAAUUUGAAAAUUUACUAAGGGUUUAUAAUUGAUAUAACAACGUUAUAUCAUUGAUAAAUAUAAUAAAUUGAUUAUAAUAUAAUGUAUAAUAAAUGUUGGAUUGUUUGCUUAGUUUGAUCGACCUAUAAUAUGAGCUAUAUCUAGAAAAGCCCCUACUUUUUGCUAGUUUUUUUCCUCAAAAUAUUUGACUAGUCCUUCUUUCUAAUUUUCUCUAAGAAAACAAAUUAAAAACAAAAUAGUAGAACAUCACGUGACAGACAAUUUUUACUAUGCCACAUGAUGGUCUCGCACUUAUGGGCAGUAAUGGAAGUACAUGAUUUUUAAAAUAAAAUCGCAUUUAAUAAAAAAAAAAUACUUUGCGUAUUGUAGCCCCAUGAUUUGAAAGAAACAGAAAAGUCAGAACUCCACAAAUCACAUGACGCUCCGAUAUUGAUAAUUAAGCAACAAUUUUGAUGCUUUCGUCUGAAACAUUAUAUAUAACCCAUGGAUAUCUCCAUGAAUCUAAUUUCUUACCUCCUUA